UGGCAGUGAGCUAUCGUAGCAGGCUGUUGCAGUGGCUACACAUCAUGUGACGUCAUGAAAUCAAACAGCUGUUACCUCACUACCU
Molecule: microRNA precursor, 85 nt
Organism: Ciona intestinalis (vase tunicate)
Lineage: Eukaryota; Metazoa; Chordata; Ascidiacea; Phlebobranchia; Cionidae
Source: Ensembl